AUUGAACGCUGGCGGCAUGCCUUACACAUGCAAGUCGAACGGCAGCACGGGAGCAAUCCUGGUGGCGAGUGGCGAACGGGUGAGUAAUACAUCGGAACGUGCCCAGUAGUGGGGGAUAGCCCGGCGAAAGCCGGAUUAAUACCGCAUACGACCUACGGGUGAAAGCGGGGGAUCGCAAGACCUCGCGCUAUUGGAGCGGCCGAUGGCAGAUUAGGUAGUUGGUGAGGUAAAGGCUCACCAAGCCAACGAUCUGUAGCUGGUCUGAGAGGACGACCAGCCACACUGGGACUGAGACACGGCCCAGACUCCUACGGGAGGCAGCAGUGGGGAAUUUUGGGACAAUGGGCGCAAGCCUGAUCCAGCCAUGCCGCGUGCGGGAAGAAGGGCCUUCGGGUUGUUAAACCGGCUUUUAGUUCAGGGAGAAACGACUCCGAGCC
RNAcentral lists this ribosomal RNA (437 nucleotides) under uncultured bacterium. RNAcentral's name for it is "bacterial SSU rRNA". It matches the Rfam family "Bacterial small subunit ribosomal RNA", at positions 29 to 462 of the family's 1533-position model. The record is from RNAcentral.